RNAcentral lists this ribosomal RNA (860 nucleotides) under uncultured bacterium. RNAcentral's name for it is "bacterial SSU rRNA". It matches the Rfam family "Bacterial small subunit ribosomal RNA", at positions 8 to 917 of the family's 1533-position model. The record is from RNAcentral.
AGAGUUUGAUCCUGGCUCAGAACGAACGCUGGCGGCAGGCUUAAUACAUGCAAGUCGAGCGCCCCGCAAGGGGAGCGGCGCACGGGUGCGUAACGCGUGGGAACAUGCCCUUAGGUACGGAACAACGUCGGGAAACUGACGCUAAUACCGUAUAAUAUCUCUGGAUCAAAGAUUUAUCGCCUAAGGAUUGGCCCGCGUUAGAUUAGGUAGUUGGUGGGGUAAUGGCUCACCAAGCCGACGAUCUAUAGGGGGUCUGAGAGGAUGAUCCCCCACACUGGAACUGAGACACGGUCCAGACUCCUACGGGAGGCAGCAGUAAGGAAUAUUGGACAAUGGGCGAAAGCCUGAUCCAGCCAUGCCGCGUGAGUGAUGAAGGCCUUAGGGUUGUAAAGCUCUUUUAGAUGGGAAGAUAAUGACUGUACCAUCAGAAUAAGCCCCGGCUAAAUUCGUGCCAGCAGCCGCGGUAAUACGAAUGGGGCAAGCGUUGUUCGGAAUCACUGGGCGUAAAGCGUGUGUAGGCGGUGUAUCAAGUCAGGAGUGAAAUCCCAGGGCUCAACCCUGGAAUUGCUCUUGAAACUGAUAUGCUAGAGUACUGGAGAGGUUAGCAGAAUUCCGAGUGUAGAGGUGAAAUUCGCAGAUAUUCGGAGGAAUACCAGUGGCGUAAGCGGCUAACUGGACAGUAACUGACGCUGAGACACGAAAGCGUGGGGAUCAAACAGGAUUAGAUACCCUGGUAGUCCACGCUGUAAACGAUGUCAACUGGCUGUUGGGAGAGAAAUCUUUCAGUAGCGAAGCUAACGCGUGAAGUUGACCGCCUGGGGAGUACGGCCGCAAGGUUGAAACUCAAAGGAAUUGACGGG